This 75-nucleotide transfer RNA is filed under the name Candidatus Wolfebacteria bacterium RIFCSPHIGHO2_01_FULL_48_22. Its description in RNAcentral is "tRNA-Ile". It matches the Rfam family "tRNA". Rfam says of the family: Transfer RNA (tRNA) molecules are approximately 80 nucleotides in length. Their secondary structure includes four short double-helical elements and three loops (D, anti-codon, and T loops). RNAcentral also lists the same sequence under 1 other name. The record is from RNAcentral. Lineage: Bacteria; Candidatus Wolfeibacteriota.
GCGCGUUUAGCUCAGUGGUAGAGCACGUCACUGAUAAUGACGAGGCCGUAGGUCCGAUCCCUACAACGCGCACCA